ACGGGCCAAACCCUCUUCACCCUCCCACACGCACCACCAUGCGGCCUACGCCGCCUCCCCCCAUCGCCGUGAUUCCAUGACCGCCGCCGCGCCGUCUCCUCCUCUGAAGCUAACCUCCGCCACCGCCUUCUCCGAUGCCUCCCCAUCUCCUCCUACACAGCCUCCUCCAGCUCAGGGUCCCACCUCGCCACCCCCUCCUCCGCCUCCUCCACUCCUACAACCCCAUUGACCGACCGCCGCCGCUGGACCAGCCCCUGCACGAUGCUGAGCUUUGGAUCGCCAAGGCGCUCGCGACUGCUGCCUUACUCCUGCCACACUACCUCCCGGCAUUCCGCCGCCUCGCGCCCUCCCAGGUCGCCGCCGCCGCCGCGCUCCGCCACGCGCCGUGCGCCUCCUCGACGCUCCACCUCUUCUCUGCGCUGCAUUCCCCCCACUCCCAGCUCGCCAUCCCCCCGUCCGCUCAUUCCUACCGCUACGUCAUCUCGUUGAUGUGCCAGUCCGGCCGCCACACUGAUGCCCUCCAACUGUUCGACCAAAUGACGGACCAGUCUGGUUACUUUCCCAAUGCUCGUUUUCUCUCUUUCCUGUCCGGUUCCUGCGCCACCGCAGGCCUUCUUGAUGCCGCUGCAGCAUUGCUCUCAAAGGCAUCCCAAUUUGGUUGUUCCAUUGAAGCGUAUGCAUAUAACAAGCUCCUGGGUUUGUUCAUUGGCCGUGGCCGGGUGCAGGACGCUGUGGUGUUGUUUGAGGGGUGGAUCCAGGGGAGAGUAUAUUCUCCCGACGUGUGGAGCUUCAAUGUCGUCAUCAAGGGGGUUUGCAAGGUGGGGGAUGUUCAAAAGGCGCUCGAGUUGGUCGAAAGAAUGGAUGAGUUUUGUUGCUUGCCAGAUACUGUCACACAUAAUAUUCUUGUGAAUGGGCUAUGCAGGGCAAAGGAGGUGAGUAAGGGUCGUGAGGUGUUGAGGAGGCUUCAGAGAGAUGGUGUUUGCAAGCCCAAUGUAGUGACAUACACCUCAGUAAUCUCAGGUUACUGUAAGGCUGGCAGGAUGGAGGAUGCAAUGGCAGUAUACGGUGACAUGGUUGCGUGUGGGACAUCACCCAAUGUUGUCACAUACAAUGUGCUAAUCAAUGGAUAUGGCAAGGCUGGGAAUAUGGGGUCUGCGGUGGCAGUGUAUCAGCAAAUGAUACUUCGUCGCUGCCUUCCUGAUGUUGUGACAUUUAGCUCAUUGAUUGAUGGAUAUUGUCGGUGCGGACAGCUUGAUGAUGCGAUGAAGAUUUGGACUGAGAUGUCUCAGUAUCAUAUUCAACCAAAUGCACACACGUUCUGUAUCAUAAUACACACAUUUUGUAAGCAGAACAGAUCAGGGGAAGCACUUCAUUUUUUGAAAAAAAUGAACAUGAGAACAGACAUUGCACCACAAGCGUUUAUAUAUAACCCUGUGAUUGAUGUACUGUGCAAGGGUGGAAAGGUGGACGAAGCAAACAUGAUUCUAAUGGAGAUGGAAGAGAAAGGAUGUCAUCCCGACAAGUAUACAUAUACUAUUUUGAUAAUUGGGCACUGCAUGAAGGGUAGGAUAGCAGAAGCCAUCACAUUUUUCCAUAAAAUGGUAGAGACUGGGUGUACCCCUGACAGUAUAGUAGUCAAUUCUUUUAUUAGCUGCCUUUUAAAGUCUGGGAUGCCUGGUGAGGUGGAUCAUAUAAUGCGUAUUGCAGCAGGGGGUGCUUCAUCGAGUUGGAAAGAUCCUUCUCCUGUAACCCAAAGCGUAGACAUUUCAGUAGCUGUAUAGCUGAAUGAUACAAUGGAGAAUGUAAGAAACAGCAUCUUGACUGUUUUCGGUGCGAAUUACGGGGCAUCUGGCGCUUGUCCAAAUAAGAAGAACAAGCUCUGUGGUUUUGCAGAACACUCCGUCGAAAAGAACUCAAAUGUAACCAUUGACAUCUUGGUUACACCAAGGGUAUGGAACUAUUGAGAGACUAAUCCAAAAUUUCGUGCUAGAAAGAAAAGGACAAGCAGCUUGGUGCUCCGUGUAUGCGUUGAAGUGAUUCGAUGAAUUCCAUAAAGGGAAGCAAAUGGUGGAGCUGUAAUUUCAAGGGGCCUGCUGAUCAGCUGCAGUAGUGCUACAUCACUUGCUCAAUGGACCCUUGACACACUCCUCAACACCUCAUGUAUGAUUUGUCGACUCCCUGGUAGAUGAUAAGAUCAUCCAGUCACUUGAACCUACCUGUCAAGAACCUGCUUCGUUUUGGAGGAGCUGUUACCUAAAUGAGGGGGAAUCAGCAGUUGAAGAACACGAUGGAAGUAAUUUACCCUCUAGCAGAGGUCCCUUUCAUGCAAUCAGUCAUGCUGUGACUGGAGCUGUUGAAUCUCAGGAUCCUUGACUUCUGAGGUGUGAAUCUCAAGAAAAGGUACACUAUAUAUCCUGUUCUUGAUGCAUAUCUAACUUGAGAUGAAAAGGAAUCGCCAUAAUGUAUUGCUGGUUCAUCGGUAAUUUCUGGUGGCCUAUUGAAGUUUUGUGCAACGGAGGAAUAUAUUUGGUCUUCCUUUCUAUAUCAGUUCUUCAAUGGCCAACCAUUCUUAAUAACAGGAACCAUUAGUUGUCGGAUCUUGUCCUCUGUACCUGAAUCAUUGGUGAAGCAUAAGGCGAGGCCGUUCUGUGCUUUUGUUGGAACUUGAACAUGUACAAAUAUUUGGUAUGAAGUGCCUAACCUAUAAGGUUCUCUUGCCUAACCCGGACCACUUGCCAGGAAAGGUGAACAGGGGGACGGCAGCACGUUGUCAACAAUUUCUGGCAAGUGAAGGCGUGAAGCUGUAGGCAAGAGUUCCCAAGAGGAAUGGUUGAUGAACUCUACUCACCGAGCCUUUGGGGCUAAGCAACCAUCUGCUAAAGGAAACUUGAAGAGUCUUUUCGUCCUUCACCCGCCUGCUAACUCUCUGAGAGUGUGAGCCUGGAUUGGUGAUGAAUGGAGUUUAUGCGAACGGGCUCAGCUUAACGUGGAAACUAGACGAGAACUCUAGAAGCAGUUCAUGAUUUUUAAUCUUUAAUUACAAUCGUUGAACAAGAUGCUAAGCCAAAGGAGUUAGGUUCAGGAGAGACUCACAUUCAGCUAUUACACAGGAUUCUCUUUCCUCUCUUCUUUUCUCAAAGUCUAAACAAUACUCCCUUUGUCCCAUAAUAUAAGAUG
This is an RNA transcript of Triticum dicoccoides, 3177 nucleotides long. It is a transcript of the gene named pentatricopeptide repeat-containing protein At3g53700, chloroplastic-like, with no coding region annotated. NCBI's taxonomy places the organism in Eukaryota, Viridiplantae, Streptophyta, Magnoliopsida, Poales, Poaceae. The record is from RefSeq and is a predicted model, not a curated record. The transcript has 3 exons.